This 374-nucleotide ribosomal RNA is filed under the name uncultured bacterium. RNAcentral describes it as "bacterial SSU rRNA". It matches the Rfam family "Bacterial small subunit ribosomal RNA", at positions 30 to 407 of the family's 1533-position model. The record is from RNAcentral.
AUUGAACGCUGGCGGAAUGCUUUACACAUGCAAGUCGAACGGCAGCACGGGGCAACCUGGUGGCGAGUGGCGAACGGGUGAGUAAUACAUCGGAACGUGCCCAAUCGUGGGGGAUAACGUAGCGAAAGUUACGCUAAUACCGCAUACGAUCUACGGAUGAAAGCGGGGGAUCGCAAGACCUCGCGCGAGUGGAGCGGCCGAUGUCAGAUUAGGUAGUUGGUGGGGUAAAGGCUCACCAAGCCAACGAUCUGUAGCUGGUCUGAGAGGACGACCAGCCACACUGGAACUGAGACACGGUCCAGACUCCUACGGAGGCAGCAGUGGGGAAUUUUGGACAAUGGGCGCAAGCCUGAUCCAGCCAUUCCGCGUGCAGG